GGGAACGGAGGCUGGGAGCGCCGAGCUGCCUGACGCGCCUACGGGAGAGACGCCGGGCGCGCCCGCUCUCCCGGCGCCUGCCCGGCCGUUUGAAGCCGAGAGGCAGCGGCGGCGCGGUUCUAACCCCAACAGCUGCCCGCCCAGGCGCCCUGCGGGACCCGGCAAACCAAGAUGGAGUAUGAGUGGAAACCUGACGAGCAAGGGCUCCAGCAAAUCCUGCAGUUGUUGAAGGAGUCCCAGUCCCCAGACACCACCAUCCAGAGAACCGUGCAACAAUUCUAGAAACUGGAACAACUUAAUCAGUAUCCAGACUUUAACAACUACUUGAUUUUUGUUCUUACAAAAUUAAAAUCUGAAGGUAUUUUGAUCACAACUAUAGCCUCCAAGGGAGAAUUGCAGAAUUGGCCUGACCUCUUACCAAAACUCUGUAGCCUGUUGGAUUCUGAAGAUUAUAAUACCUGUGAGGGAGCAUUUGGUGCCCUUCAGAAGAUUUGUGAAGAUUCUGCUGAGAUUUUAGACAGUGAUGUUUUAGAUCGUCCUCUCAACAUCAUGAUUCCCAAAUU
This 563-nucleotide small RNA is filed under the name Pan troglodytes (chimpanzee). Its description in RNAcentral is "processed transcript". Lineage: Eukaryota; Metazoa; Chordata; Mammalia; Primates; Hominidae. The record is from RNAcentral.